AGUAACGCGUAAAUAAUCUACCCCUGCAUUUGGGAUAACCCACCGGAAGGUGAGCUAAUACCGGAUACGUUCUUUAGAUCGCGAGAUUUAGAGAAGAAAGGUGGCCUCUGAUAUAAGCUACUGUGCGGGGAGGAGUUUGCGUACCAUUAGCUAGUUGGUAGGGUAAUGGCCUACCAAGGCGACGAUGGUUAGCGGGUCUGAGAGGAUGAUCCGCCACACUGGAACUGGAACACGGACCAG
Molecule: ribosomal RNA, 240 nt
Filed under: uncultured bacterium
Lineage: Bacteria
Description: partial 16S ribosomal RNA
Rfam family: Bacterial small subunit ribosomal RNA
Source: RNAcentral